RNAcentral lists this small RNA (479 nucleotides) under Histoplasma capsulatum var. duboisii H88. RNAcentral describes it as "Histoplasma capsulatum H88 hypothetical RNA". Lineage: Eukaryota; Fungi; Ascomycota; Eurotiomycetes; Onygenales; Ajellomycetaceae. The record is from RNAcentral.
UUCGAACAAACUAUGCAAGCUGCGAAGGGGUCUGUUCUAAGUCUUCUAUCCAUAUCCAUGAACCCUAAGCGGGAAAUAUGGAUCGCAAAUUACAUGGAGUUAAUCGUUAUAUAGUGGUUAGAUAGGCCGUUUCUCCUAAUCUUCAACUGGAGCCGAAUUCGAGGGAGAAUAGCUUGUCUCCAAUUCUUUCAUCCUUAAUCAGAUACGCCAGAGACAACAAACGGUUACUAGAUUAACGAAGAUGCAAUAUUAUGGUUAAAGGACCAGGAUUCAGGUUGACUUAGCCAUGCUUGUGCAGUUGGUCGCAGAAAAAGAAAAUUUUGGGAACAGGAUAUGCUUUGCUCGAUUCCCGAAGAAUUCCUGUUUUGGCAACUAUGAGCCAUGGUGGCCAUUUGAUGCUAGCAAGCCGAGGCUAUUCGAAGUGUUGGCGGAUUUACUUUGCAUGAUGUGCAUCUUGAUCCAACAGCCCACAAAAUGUU